CGGCGGACGGGUGAGUAACGCGUGGGGAACCUACCUCGCACCGGGGGAUAACAGCCGGAAACGGCUGCUAAUACCGCAUAAGCGCACAGCAUCGCAUGAUGCAGUGUGAAAAACUCCGGUGGUGUGAGAUGGACCCGCGUUAGAUUAGCUGGUUGGUGGGGUAACGGCCCACCAAGGCGACGAUCUAUAGCCGGCCUGAGAGGGCGACCGGCCACAUUGGGACUGAGACACGGCCCAAACUCCUACGGGAGGCAGCAGUGGGGAAUAUUGCACAAUGGGCGAAAGCCUGAUGCAGCGACGCCGCGUGAACGAAGAAGUAUCUCGGUAUGUAAAGUUCUAUCAGCAGGGAAGAAAAUGACGGUACCUGACUAAGAAGCCCCGGCUAACUACGUGCCAGCAGCCGCGGUAAUACGUAGGGGGCAAGCGUUAUCCGGAUUUACUGGGUGUA
RNAcentral lists this ribosomal RNA (448 nucleotides) under uncultured bacterium. RNAcentral's name for it is "bacterial SSU rRNA". It matches the Rfam family "Bacterial small subunit ribosomal RNA", at positions 96 to 562 of the family's 1533-position model. The record is from RNAcentral.